Nycticebus coucang (slow loris) is the source of this 593-nucleotide long non-coding RNA. RefSeq lists it as uncharacterized. The record is from RefSeq and is a predicted model, not a curated record. The transcript has 4 exons. NCBI's taxonomy places the organism in Eukaryota, Metazoa, Chordata, Mammalia, Primates, Lorisidae.
GAGCCGAGUUAUAAAAAGAAGGUGUCGGAAACUGUAACGUCGCAGCGCCGCAUCGGUACUACUGCCUGUCCGACCCUCAUAUUCUACCUGGAUGUGUGUAUGGAUGUAGAGGAGAAAAUGGAGGAUCUGGACAAAGUGAGCAGAGCAAAGAUCUAGCUUCUGGGCCUGUCCCCUCCAAGCUGCUGUCCUCACCUCUGGGGUCGGCUGGGUGUGGAGCUGCGGCACGCCAAGGAGAGAGGGAGAGGAAAUUUUGCGGGGUUCUGAAUCGAAAAUGUCCACGUCUUGCUAAUGGCCUGCAAACUUCCGCCAAUUAUGACUGACCUCCCAGACUCAGCCCCAGGAGGCUCGUAUUAUGCAGGGAGGCCGCCGUAAUUCUGGGAUCAAAAGCUGGAAGGCUCAACAAAAGACACAGGGGAGACGUCGAAUGAACCUGGCCCUCAUCGGAGUCCAGGGAAAGAAUACUUUAAGGGUGGGAGAAGGGAGAACAAAUUCCAGAAAGAACCCAGGGAUCUUCUGGCAUCUCCGAAUUGCAAAAGAAGUUUUUCACGCAUCUGUACACCUAGAAUUAAAAUACGUAUAUAAAUUAAUUUCUA